AUUAUUGAAUCUUUCUGUUAGAGUUUUAUAUUAAUAGCGUUGGUUUUCCAACUAUGACGAUAAACGAAUUUCGUAAUAAACAUUACGGACGUGGGGGCAGUACCCACCAC
This 110-nucleotide transfer-messenger RNA is filed under the name Candidatus Pelagibacter sp. TMED273. Its description in RNAcentral is "partial transfer-messenger RNA". It matches the Rfam family "Alphaproteobacteria transfer-messenger RNA", at positions 1 to 111 of the family's 355-position model. From Rfam's summary of the family: Bacterial tmRNA, also known as 10Sa RNA or SsrA, is named for its dual tRNA and mRNA-like properties. Its role is to liberate the mRNA from a stalled ribosome. Lineage: Bacteria; Pseudomonadati; Pseudomonadota; Alphaproteobacteria; Candidatus Pelagibacterales; Candidatus Pelagibacteraceae. The record is from RNAcentral.